Molecule: ribosomal RNA, 1471 nt
Filed under: uncultured Bordetella sp.
Lineage: Bacteria; Pseudomonadati; Pseudomonadota; Betaproteobacteria; Burkholderiales; Alcaligenaceae
Description: partial 16S-23S ribosomal RNA intergenic spacer
Rfam family: Bacterial small subunit ribosomal RNA
Source: RNAcentral
UUCGAUUCGUCAGAUUGAACGCUGGCGGGAUGCUUUAGCACAUGCAAGUCGAACGGCAGCACGGACUUCGGUCUGGUGGCAGUGGCGAACGGGUGAGUACACGUAUCGGAACGUGCCCAGUAGCGGGGGAUAACUACGCGAAAGGUAGCUAAUACCGGCAUAUUGCCUCUUCGGGGGAAAGCGGGGGACCUUUCGGGCCUCGCACUAUUAGAGCGGCUGAUAUCGGAUUAGCUAGUUGGUGGGUAACGGCUCACCAAGGCGACGAUCCGUAGCUGGUUUGAGAGGACGACCAGCUACACUGGGAUCAGAGACACGCCUGACUCUACGGGAGGCAGCAGUGGGAAUUUUGGACAAUGGGGGAAACCUGGAUUCAGUCAUCCAGCAAAAGACGAAGGCCUUCGGGUUGUGCAAAGCACUUUUGGCAGGAAGAACGGCACGGGAUAAUACCCCGUGCAACUGACGGUACCUGCAGAAUAAGCACCGGCUAAAUUACGCCAGCAGCCGCGGUAAUACGUAGGUGCAAGCGUUAAUCGGAAUUACUGGGCGCAAGUGUGCGCAGGCGGUUCGAAAAAGAAAGAUGUGAAAUCCCAGAGCUUAACUUUGAACUGGUAUUUUAAUACCGAGCUAGAGUGUGUGUCAGAGGGAGGUGGAAUUCCGCGUGUAGCAGUGGAAUGCAGAGGAGCAGGAGGAACACCGAUGGAAGUAGUGCAGCCUCCUGGGAUAACACUGACGCUCAUGCACGAAAGCGUGGGGGAGCAAACAGGAUUGAUACCCUGGUUCACGCCCUAAACGAUGCUCAACUAGCUGUUGGGGCCUUCGGCCUUGGUAGCGCAGCUAACGGGGUGAAGUUGACCGCCUGGGGAGUACGGUCGCAAGAUUAAACUCAAAGGAAUUGACGGGACCCCGCAUAAGCGGUGGAUGAUGUGGAUUAAUUCGAUGCAACGCGAAAACCUUACCUACCCUUGACAUGUCUGGAAUCCCGAAGAGGGAUUUGGAGCGUGCUUCAGAAACCGGAACACAGGUGCUGCAAUGUCGUCACUCGUGUCGUGAGAUGUUGGGUUAAGUCCCGCAACGAGCGCAACCCUUGUCAUUAGUUGCUACGAAAAGGUUCCCAGACGAGAUCGUUGGUGACAAACCGGAGGAAGGUGGGAUAGACGUCAAGUCCUUCAUGGCCCUUAUGGGUAGGGCUUCACACGUCAUACAAUGGUCGGGACAGAGGGUCGCCAACCCGCGAGGGGAGCCAAUCCCAGAAACCCGAUCGGUCCGGAUCGCGGUCUGCAACUCGACUGCGUGAAGUCGGAAUCGCUAGUAAUCGCGGAUCAGCAUGUCGCGUGAAUACGUUCCGGUCUUGUACAUGACCGCCCGUCACACCAUGGGAGUGGGCUUUACCAGAAGUAGUUAGCCUAACCGUAAGGAGGUGCGAUUACCACGGUAGAUCUCAUGACUGGGGUGGAAGUCGUAAUAAAGGUAG